Molecule: long non-coding RNA, 1070 nt
Organism: Humulus lupulus (European hop)
Lineage: Eukaryota; Viridiplantae; Streptophyta; Magnoliopsida; Rosales; Cannabaceae
Exons: 4
Source: RefSeq, a predicted model, not a curated record
AGGAUAAUAAUAAAGAGAACGCGGAAGAUAAAAAGAAAACACAUAAGCGGACACGAGGCAUAGUGUGAUUGACGAAGAUCAUAGCAGAUAAAAUUAAAGGAAUCAAACGCCAUUUGAGGUUCAAUAGCAGGGGGUAAUCGAUCGGGACCCCAAACAGAGAGCUUCAAUGUUAUUUAGGAAUGCAAGCCAAAAGUAUGGUGCCAAUUAACAUUGACAAUUGGCGCGAAGUUCCUAAAUCUAUAUUGGACAGCUUAUGGAAGGAUGUCAAUCUAGCUUUCCACCUAGAUGAGAAUAUGCGAAAAAAUAUUAUUGGCUCAGUGGGUAAUAAGUGGAGAUAAUUCAAAUGUAAUUUGAACAAGAAGUUUAUAGUCCCUUACCUUAAUGACCCAUCUCUUUUGGAAGCAAACCCUCGUGGUCUCCAUAAACCUCCACCAAGCUAUCAUAUAGAAGAAACACAUUGGAAAGAAUUUGUCAAGAGAAGGACAUCCAAAGAGUUUCAAGAUUUUAGAAAAUUACAACAAGAAAGGCGUAAUCAUUUACAAUACCCUCAUAGGACUUCACGCCAUAGCUAUACUGAAUUGGAAGCUGAUUUACAAGCUAAGUGGGGCACAACAGAGCAAAUAGAUCGAUCUAUACUCUGGAAGGAGGCCAGAAAAGAUUCUUCUGGCAACUAUGUCACCGAGCGUGACAAGGUCAAGGGAGAGGCCAUCGAAGACAUGCUUGAGCAAAGAAAAGAGGGCAAACUGAUUGAAAUCGGAACAAAUGACAUCCUAACACAAGUGUUAGGUACUGCUGAGCACCCUGGUUGAGUUCGAGGCUAGAGUCGAGGUGUCACACAAAGAGACUACUUUCAUAAGCCUGUUGGGGGGGGGGGGGGUCUAAGAGGCUUGCAGAAAAAACAAAUUGAGUUCGAACGACAAUCCAACAUACGACAUAGGGAAGAGAUUGAAAAGUUGAAAGAAUCGUUCAUGUCCAAGCUUGAAGAAUUAUCAACCAAGAUGGCACAUAUGAAAGCUAACUUUGAUAGUCAUUCUAGCUUUUGCAGCCAUUCUAGAGUCAAUACAAUAGAA